RNAcentral lists this ribosomal RNA (301 nucleotides) under uncultured bacterium. Its description in RNAcentral is "partial 16S ribosomal RNA". It matches the Rfam family "Bacterial small subunit ribosomal RNA", at positions 509 to 809 of the family's 1533-position model. The record is from RNAcentral.
CAGUAGCCACGGGAAUACGUAGGUGGCAAGCGUUGUCCGGAAUUAUUGGGCGUAAAGGGCUCGCAGGCGGUUUCUUAAGUCUGAUGUGAAAGCCCCCGGCUCAACCGGGGAGGGUCAUUGGAAACUGGGAAACUUGAGUGCAGAGGAGGAGAGUGGAAUUCCACGUGUAGCGGUGAAAUGCGUAGAGAUGUGGAGGAACACCAGUGGCGAAGGCGACUCUCUGGUCUGUAACUGACGCUGAGGAGCGAAAGCGUGGGGAGCGAACAGGAUUAGAUACCCGCGUAGUCCCUGUCUCUUAUAA